GACACCUCAUUUGGUAACCUUUACAGUCAGUCAGCUGUCUAAACAGUUUCUCUCUUAGAGAUUCUUAUAGAUACGUGAGUCAAGAGUAAUAUGCUAACUGGUGAUUAUGGCCUGAAAGAAAUAAUGACAGCAGUCCAAUACAGUGGAAAAGCUGAAAAAAAUAAACAGCUAAAAGUUCCACAUGGAUCAAAGUUAUCAACAUAAAACCAGAAUGAGCAUUUGUAUUGGACAAGGGCUGAACAAGAAUGCCAAUAUCCAUGCUAAAAUGGACAGACGAAAUCCCAGGAGCCUUUAACCUUACACAAAGAACUACCAGCAACAAUGGAAUGCUGAGAGUGGGAGAAACAGUCUUGUGAAUUCUUAAUCAAUUACCCAUUGGGUUUUCUUUAAGAAAUCUAUACUGCUCAGCAUGCAGGAGGUAAUUCGUACAGUAAAUACGUUGGAAGGUUGCCUGUUUACCCAUUGCAACAAAGUUGUUCAUUGUCAUGAUUCAAUCAGGAAGUAAUUGGAAAAUUCAUAAGGACAACAACAACAACAAAACAACAACAAUGUAAUAGCUUUUGCGGGAAAAUAAAAGAAUAUGUAGAAUUCUUCAAUAGAA
Long non-coding RNA from Mus musculus (house mouse), 601 nucleotides. RefSeq annotates it as predicted gene, 41998. Lineage: Eukaryota; Metazoa; Chordata; Mammalia; Rodentia; Muridae. The record is from RefSeq and is marked validated. The transcript has 3 exons.